UACGAAGGGGGCUAGCGUUGCUCGGCAUCACUGGGCGUAAAGCGCACGUCGGCGGCUUCUUAAGUCAGGGGUGAAAUCCUGGGGCUCAACCCCAGAACUGCCCUUGAUACUGAGGAGCUUGAGUCCGGGAGAGGUGAGUGGAACUCCGAGUGUAGAGGUGAAAUUCGUAGAUAUUCGGAAGAACACCAGUGGCGAAGGCGGCUCACUGGCCCGGUACUGACGCUGAGGUGCGAAAGCGCGGGGAGCAAACAGG
RNAcentral lists this ribosomal RNA (253 nucleotides) under uncultured bacterium. RNAcentral's name for it is "partial 16S ribosomal RNA". It matches the Rfam family "Bacterial small subunit ribosomal RNA", at positions 524 to 776 of the family's 1533-position model. The record is from RNAcentral.